Molecule: ribosomal RNA, 436 nt
Filed under: uncultured bacterium
Lineage: Bacteria
Description: bacterial SSU rRNA
Rfam family: Bacterial small subunit ribosomal RNA
Source: RNAcentral
GAUGAACGCUGGCGGCGUGCUUAACACAUGCAAGUCGAACGGAAAGGCCGAAGCUUGCUUCGGUACUCGAGUGGCGAACGGGUGAGUAACACGUGGGUGAUCUGCCCUGUACUUCGGGAUAAGCUUGGGAAACUGGGUCUAAUACCGGAUAUGACGAUCUCUUGGAUGGGGUUGUGGAAAGCUUUUGCGGUAUGGGAUGAGCUCGCGGCCUAUCAGCUUGUUGGUGGGGUAAUGGCCUACCAAGGCGUCGACGGGUAGCCGGCCUGAGAGGGUGUACGGCCACAUUGGGACUGAGAUACGGCCCAGACUCCUACGGGAGGCAGCAGUGGGAAUAUUGCACAAUGGGCGCAAGCCUGAUGCAGCGACGCCGCGUGGGGGAUGACGGCCUUCGGGUUGUAACUCCUUUCGCAAUCGACGAAGCCUUGGUGACGGUAGG